UUAUCGUUUUCCAAAGCUCAGUCUGUUAUUUUACUAAUGUGCUUUUUAAGAGGAUCAUUGAAAGAAGAUUGUUUCGUAAUAAGAUUAAUCGAAAGUGUCGCAGCCACCAGCGGCAGCCAAGCUGGCGGAAAGGUAGCGUGCUUCGUCCUACUCGUCAUUUACUUCCUUAUAAAUUAUUUCAUAUCGUGAUUUACAUUAAUGUUACGCAUGUUCGCGAAUUAAGGAAAUUACCCUUGCACGUGACUGUCAUAUACGAUCCAGCGUAAUAACGUAUAAUUAAGAAACGUAUCCGUGUAACGUGGCUGUACCAACAAUAAAGUUGCAAUUAAAAGAGUGGACAAUUUCGUUCAGCUCGUAACGCAAGAUUGAGAGGAAAGACGAGUCAGACCAGUUGAACGUAUUCGAGUCGUUGGACGUAAUUGAACGUAUCGCGUGUAGCAAUGUACGAGAGGAACGACAAGAGUGACAGAUUUUUAAGAAAACAAUAUAAUCGUACAACUUGAAAAGAAUUUAUGUAUCUGGUAUGUUCGAAGGAAUAAGUGCAACGCUGUAAAAAUUGAUAGAAAAUUAAACUACAAAUUUUGCCGAGAUAUUUCGAAGAUUUUCUGAAACGUUGAAUCUAGAAAGCUGUUAGAAGAUUUGGAAAAGUGAAACCAAAUAUUCCACGGAAUCUCCUGUGAAAGGCAAUUUUAGAAAGCAGCGACUCUUAGAAAGGAUAGCAAAUUAAACUGAAAGACGUUCGAAGCUCUAAAAGAUUGCAAAAGAAUCGUAACCGCGAUUCUCUUCUCGUAAAAAUCUUUCGUAAGAAGAGGAAAAUGUCACGAAUAGCUACGAUCGAGUCGAAAAGGCUACAACAACGAUCCAAGUAUCAAGGCCAAGGAUUGAUAUACUCGGAUCGGCGAACAACUGUUCAUCAAAGUCAGGGAAUUAAGUGACGCGUUAUAUCAUAUCCCUUGUUAUCUCAACGAUGAUAUCCUUUCAAGCAACCACGAUAUCGAAGCGUUCUUUAUCUCUAAGUAGUUUAAAUAUCCUCUAGUCAACUGCGGUACGAAAUGCCAGAUUAAGAAUACUUAAGUCUGUAACGCGGUAUGCCACGAGGACCUUGAAUUCUCCACUUUAAUUGUCCAUCGCAAUUAUCUUGGACUUAGUUAGAUCCAACAGCUUGGAACUCUAAGAUAUUAUAAAUCUGUUGAGAAUUGUGGAUCUUAAUUACCGAAAUAAAAGUAAAGGAAUACCAAAA
This is a long non-coding RNA of Bombus pascuorum, 1240 nucleotides long. RefSeq lists it as uncharacterized. NCBI's taxonomy places the organism in Eukaryota, Metazoa, Arthropoda, Insecta, Hymenoptera, Apidae. The record is from RefSeq and is a predicted model, not a curated record. The transcript has 2 exons.